RNAcentral lists this ribosomal RNA (492 nucleotides) under uncultured bacterium. Its description in RNAcentral is "bacterial SSU rRNA". It matches the Rfam family "Bacterial small subunit ribosomal RNA", at positions 29 to 514 of the family's 1533-position model. The record is from RNAcentral.
AUUGAACGCUGGCGGCGUGCCUAACACAUGCAAGUCGAGCGGUAACAGGUGUAGCAAUACAUGCUGACGAGCGGCGGACGGGUGAGUAACGCUUGGGAAUCUGCCUAUUAGUGGGGGACAACCCGGGGAAACUCGGGCUAAUACCGCAUACGCUCUACGGAGGAAAGCCGGGGACCGCAAGGCCUGGCGCUAAUAGAUGAGCCCAAGUCGGAUUAGCUAGUUGGUAGGGUAANGGCCUACCAAGGCGACGAUCCGUAACUGGUCUGAGAGGACGACCAGUCACACCGGAACUGAGACACGGUCCGGACUCCUACGGGAGGCAGCAGUGGGGAAUAUUGGACAAUGGGCGAAAGCCUGAUCCAGCGACGCCGCGUGGGUGAAGAAGGCCUGCGGGUUGUAAAGCCCUUUCAGUGGGGAAGAAAAGCCUCGACCUAACACGUCGGGGUCUUGACGUAACCAUAGAAGAAGCACCGGCUAACUCUGUGCCAGCAG